ACUCCUACGGGAGGCAGCAGUAGGGAAUCUUCCACAAUGGACGAAAGUCUGAUGGAGCAACGCCGCGUGAGUGAAGAAGGGUUUCGGCUCGUAAAACUCUGUUGUUAAAGAAGAACAUAUCUGAGAGUAACUGUUCAGGUAUUGACGGUAUUUAACCAGAAAGCCACGGCUAACUACGUGCCAGCAGCCGCGGUAAUACGUAGGUGGCAAGCGUUGUCCGGAUUUAUUGGGGCGUAAAGCGAGCGCAGGCGGUUUUUAAAGUCUGAUGUGAAAGCCUUCGGCUCAACCGAAGAAGUGCAUCGGAAACUGGGAAACUUGAGUGCAGAAGAGGACAGUGGAACUCCAUGUGUAGCGGUGAAAUGCGUAGAUAUAUGGAAGAACACCAGUGGCGAAGGCGGCUGUCUGGUCUGUAACUGACGCUGAGGCUCGAAAGUAUGGGUAGCAAACAGGAUUAGAUACCCUGGUAGGCUAGCG
RNAcentral lists this ribosomal RNA (474 nucleotides) under uncultured bacterium. Its description in RNAcentral is "bacterial SSU rRNA". It matches the Rfam family "Bacterial small subunit ribosomal RNA", at positions 335 to 801 of the family's 1533-position model. The record is from RNAcentral.